GGUAAAUACAAGAAGACCGUAGAAAAGAUAACGCUUAAAGACCAGAGGAUUCCUCAGCACACAGAAGAGCAUUCCAACACCUCAGCGGCGUUGACCAGCUGACCAGCUUACGAGCUCAAGAACAGCAACAUGACUCACGUCCGGAGAUUCCAGGGGAUUCCGAUGUCCACGUCAAUGAGGGGAAUCUGUAAGGAGGAAGACUAUGCCUUCCUUGGUGGGGUGAAAAUGCCAGAUGAAGAUGAGGACUAUGAG
This is a long non-coding RNA of Gadus chalcogrammus (walleye pollock), 252 nucleotides long. RefSeq lists it as uncharacterized. The record is from RefSeq and is a predicted model, not a curated record. NCBI's taxonomy places the organism in Eukaryota, Metazoa, Chordata, Actinopteri, Gadiformes, Gadidae. The transcript has 3 exons.